CUUGCCUGCCCAGUGACUGUAAGUUAAACGGCCGCGGUAUUUUGACCGUGAAAAGGUAGCGCAAUCACUUGUCUUUUAAAUGAAGACCUGUAUGAAUGGUGAAACGAGGGCUUAACUGUCUCCCUCAUCUAGUCAAUGAAAUUGAUCUACCCGUGCAGAAGCGGGUAUUACAAUACAAGACGAGAAGACCCUCUGGAGCUUAAGACAAAAGACCAACUAUGUCAAGAGUACUAAAAAUGAAACUAAACCGAAUAACACUGGUCCCAGUCUUUGGUUGGGGUGACCGCGGGAGAAAGUUAAGCUCCCAUGUGGACUGGGGCAACCCCCCAAAACUAAGAAAGACAUCUCUAAGGCACAGAACAUCUGACCAUAAAGAUCCGGCCAUGCGCCGACCAACGGACCAAGUUACCCUAGGGAUAACAGCGCAAUCCCCUUCCAGAGUCCAUAUCGACAAGGGGGUUUACGACCUCGAUGUUGGAUCAGGACAUCCUAAUGGUGCAGCCG
Molecule: ribosomal RNA, 504 nt
Filed under: Pareiorhaphis splendens
Lineage: Eukaryota; Metazoa; Chordata; Actinopteri; Siluriformes; Loricariidae
Description: partial 16S ribosomal RNA
Rfam family: Bacterial large subunit ribosomal RNA
Source: RNAcentral